Molecule: ribosomal RNA, 495 nt
Filed under: uncultured Enterobacterales bacterium
Lineage: Bacteria; Pseudomonadati; Pseudomonadota; Gammaproteobacteria; Enterobacterales
Description: bacterial SSU rRNA
Rfam family: Bacterial small subunit ribosomal RNA
Source: RNAcentral
AUUGAACGCUGGCGGCAGGCCUAACACAUGCAAGUCGAACGGUAGCACAGAGGAGCUUGCUCCUUGGGUGACGAGUGGCGGACGGGUGAGUAAUGUCUGGGAAACUGCCCGAUGGAGGGGGAUAACUACUGGAAACGGUAGCUAAUACCGCAUAACGUCGCAAGACCAAAGAGGGGGACCUUCGGGCCUCUUGCCAUCGGAUGUGCCCAGAUGGGAUUAGCUAGUAGGUGGGGUAACGGCUCACCUAGGCGACGAUCCCUAGCUGGUCUGAGAGGAUGACCAGCCACACUGGAACUGAGACACGGUCCAGACUCCUACGGGAGGCAGCAGUGGGGAAUAUUGCACAAUGGGCGCAAGCCUGAUGCAGCCAUGCCGCGUGCAUGAAGAAGGCCUUCGGGUUGUAAAGUACUUUCAGCGAGGAGGAAGGCGUUGUGGUUAAUAACCGCAACGAUUGACGUUACUCGCAGAAGAAGCACCGGCUAACUCCGUGCCAGC